CAGACAUAAAACAGACCAUGUUAAACGACCUUGAAAAUAAGAACAAACUAAAUGGCCCCUGUUUGAAUGUUUUUGGUUGGGGCGACCGCGGGGCAACAAAAAACCCCCAUGUGGAAUGAAAACACCUUUUUAAAACCAAGAGCAACUGCUCUAAGUAACAGAAAAUCUGACCAAACAGAUCCGGCCUAGCCGAUCAACGAACCGAGUUACCCU
This 213-nucleotide ribosomal RNA is filed under the name Sphoeroides parvus (least puffer). Its description in RNAcentral is "partial 16S ribosomal RNA". The record is from RNAcentral. Lineage: Eukaryota; Metazoa; Chordata; Actinopteri; Tetraodontiformes; Tetraodontidae.